This 73-nucleotide transfer RNA is filed under the name Cordylochernes scorpioides. RNAcentral describes it as "tRNA-Thr". It matches the Rfam family "tRNA". From Rfam's summary of the family: Transfer RNA (tRNA) molecules are approximately 80 nucleotides in length. Their secondary structure includes four short double-helical elements and three loops (D, anti-codon, and T loops). Lineage: Eukaryota; Metazoa; Arthropoda; Arachnida; Pseudoscorpiones; Chernetidae. The record is from RNAcentral.
UCCAGGGUAGCCUAGUGGACAUGGCAUCUGCUCGGUAAGCGGAACACUGUGGGUUCGUUUCCCAUCCCUGGAC